RNAcentral lists this microRNA precursor (60 nucleotides) under Ictalurus punctatus (channel catfish). Its description in RNAcentral is "microRNA ipu-mir-457a precursor". Its record names the gene ipu-mir-457a. The record is from miRBase by way of RNAcentral. Lineage: Eukaryota; Metazoa; Chordata; Actinopteri; Siluriformes; Ictaluridae.
AAGCAGCACAUCAAUAUUGGCAGCUGCCCUCUCUCUGGGUUGCCAGUAUGGUUUGUGCUG